Molecule: ribosomal RNA, 431 nt
Filed under: uncultured bacterium
Lineage: Bacteria
Description: bacterial SSU rRNA
Rfam family: Bacterial small subunit ribosomal RNA
Source: RNAcentral
ACGAACGCUGGCGGCAUGCCUAACACAUGCAAGUCGAACGAAGCCUUCGGGCUUAGUGGCGCACGGGUGCGUAACGCGUGGGAAUCUGCCCUUUGGUUCGGAAUAACAGUUAGAAAUGACUGCUAAUACCGGAUGAUGACUUCGGUCCAAAGAUUUAUCGCCAAGGGAUGAGCCCGCGUAGGAUUAGGUAGUUGGUGGGGUAAAGGCCUACCAAGCCGACGAUCCUUAGCUGGUCUGAGAGGAUGAUCAGCCACACUGGGACUGAGACACGGCCCAGACUCCUACGGGAGGCAGCAGUGGGGAAUAUUGGACAAUGGGCGAAAGCCUGAUCCAGCAAUGCCGCGUGAGUGAUGAAGGCCUUAGGGUCGUAAAGCUCUUUUACCAGGGAUGAUAAUGACAGUACCUGGAGAAUAAGCUCCGGCUAACUCCGU